UGGGGAAUAUUGGACAAUGGGCGAAAGCCUGAUCCAGCCAUGCCGCGUGUAUGAAGAAGGCCUUCGGGUUGUAAAGUACUUUCAGCGAGGAGGAAGGCGUUGUGGUUAAUAACCGCAACGAUUGACGUUACUCGCAGAAGAAGCACCGGCUAACUCCGUGCCAGCAGCCGCGGUAAUACGGAGGGUGCAAGCGUUAAUCGGAAUUACUGGGCGUAAAGCGCACGCAGGCGGUCUGUCAAGUCGGAUGUGAAAUCCCCGGGCUCAACCUGGGAACUGCAUCCGAAACUGGCAGGCUAGAGUCUUGUAGAGGGGGGUAGAAUUCCAGGUGUAGCGGUGAAAUGCGUAGAGAUCUGGAGGAAUACCGGUGGCGAAGGCGGCCCCCUGGACAAAGACUGACGCUCAGGUGCGAAAGCGUGGGGAGCAAACA
This 427-nucleotide ribosomal RNA is filed under the name uncultured bacterium. Its description in RNAcentral is "partial 16S ribosomal RNA". It matches the Rfam family "Bacterial small subunit ribosomal RNA", at positions 355 to 774 of the family's 1533-position model. The record is from RNAcentral.